AACGAACGCUGGCGGCGUGGCUAAGACAUGCAAGUCGAACGGACUGUUCAAUUUAUUGUUCAGUUAGUGGCGAAAGGGUUAGUAACGGGUAGGUAACGUACCCUGUGCAUUGGGAUAGCGUCAGUAACUUCGGUUACUUUCCGAAAGGGGCGGUAAUACCAAAUAAUAUCAUUUGUCGAUAGGCGAAUGAUCAAAGAUUUAUCGGCGCAGGAGCGGCCUGCCUCCUAUCAGCUUGUUGGUGAGGUAAUGGCUCACCAAGGCAUCGACGGGUAGCGGGACUGAGAGGUUGGCCCGCAACAUCGGGACUGAGACACUGCCCGGACCUCCACGGAGGGCUGCAGUAACGAAUAUUGUGCAAUGGGCGAAAGCCUGACACAGCGACGCCGCGUGUAGGAGGAAGUCCUUCGGGAUGUAAACUACUGUCAGGGGGAAGAAAGUGCGCUUCGGCGCAUUGAUCUAACCCAAAGGAAGUCACGGCUAACUUCGUGCCAGCAGCCGCGGUAAGGCGAAGGUAGCAAGCGUUGUUCGGUAUUACUGGGCUUAAAGCGUGUGUAGGCGGAAAAUUAAGCGUUAUGUGAAAUCCCCCGGCUUAACCGGGGAACUGCAUAACGAACUGAUUUUCUUGAGGCAAGUAGGGGUGCAUGGAACUCUUGGCGGAGCGGUGGAAUGCGUAGAUAUCAAGAGGAACGCCAGCGGAGAAAUCGGUGCACUGGGCUUGUCCUGACGCUGAGACACGAAAGCGUGGGUAGCGAACGGGAUUAGAUACCCCGGUAGUCCACGCCGUAAACGAUGCCUACUAGGUUGUGAAAGUUCUGACACUGGCACAGCCGAAGCAAAAGUGUUAAGUAGGCCGCCUGGGGAGUACGGUCGCAAGGCUA
This 878-nucleotide ribosomal RNA is filed under the name uncultured Planctomycetota bacterium. Its description in RNAcentral is "bacterial SSU rRNA". It matches the Rfam family "Bacterial small subunit ribosomal RNA", at positions 28 to 896 of the family's 1533-position model. The record is from RNAcentral. Lineage: Bacteria; Pseudomonadati; Planctomycetota.